GGCCGCGUAGCGUAGUGGAUCAGUGCGUCAGACUUCGAAUCUGAAGGCUGUGGGUUCGAAUUCCACCCUGGUCG
Molecule: transfer RNA, 74 nt
Organism: Selaginella moellendorffii
Lineage: Eukaryota; Viridiplantae; Streptophyta; Lycopodiopsida; Selaginellales; Selaginellaceae
Rfam family: tRNA
About the family: Transfer RNA (tRNA) molecules are approximately 80 nucleotides in length. Their secondary structure includes four short double-helical elements and three loops (D, anti-codon, and T loops). Further hydrogen bonds mediate the characteristic L-shaped molecular structure. tRNAs have two regions of fundamental functional importance: the anti-codon, which is responsible for specific mRNA codon recognition, and the 3' end, to which the tRNAs corresponding amino acid is attached (by aminoacyl-tRNA synthetases). tRNAs cope with the degeneracy of the genetic code in two manners: having more than one tRNA (with a specific anti-codon) for a particular amino acid; and 'wobble' base-pairing, i.e. permitting non-standard base-pairing at the 3rd anti-codon position.
Source: Rfam